CCUACGGGGGGCAGCAGUGGGGAAUAUUGCGCAAUGGGGGAAACCCUGAUGCAGCGACGCCGCGUGAGUGAAGAAGUAAUUCGUUAUGUAAAGCUCUAUCAGCAGGGAAGAAAAUGACGGUACCUGAGUAAGAAGCCCCGGCUAACUACGUGCCAGCAGCCGCGGUAAUACGUAGGGGGCAAGCGUUAUCCGGAUUUACUGGGUGUAAAGGGAGCGUAGGCGGCGAUGCAAGUCAGAAGUGAAAGCCCGGGGCUCAACUCCGGGACUGCUUUUGAAACUGUGUUGCUCGAUUGCAGGAGAGGUAA
RNAcentral lists this ribosomal RNA (305 nucleotides) under uncultured bacterium. Its description in RNAcentral is "bacterial SSU rRNA". It matches the Rfam family "Bacterial small subunit ribosomal RNA", at positions 338 to 660 of the family's 1533-position model. The record is from RNAcentral.